Molecule: non-coding RNA, 686 nt
Organism: Trematomus bernacchii (emerald rockcod)
Lineage: Eukaryota; Metazoa; Chordata; Actinopteri; Perciformes; Nototheniidae
Source: the annotation of a RefSeq genome assembly
GAUCAGUAAUCCAGGUCCCUGUUGGAGUCAGAGCAUUUCCAUAGAGAGACACUUUGCAUCAGCAGCACCAUGCUCCAGUGCUCUGGGACACUUUAUAGUCCUGAGAGUUGAGCACUGGAUGACUGACAGCUGUCCUUCAUGACAACAGAAGACACAGAAAUCCUCCUCAUCAAGAACAUGACUCUGAUCUGCGUCCUCAUCUGGACUCUCCUCUGCUGCUGCUUCACAGAGUCCAGAGGCCAGUACACAGUGACUCAGUCUGGAACAGUGAUCUCUGCUCCGGGACGCUCCGUCUCCAUCACAUGUACGACCAGUCAGAAGGUUUAUGGUGGGAACUAUUUAGCCUGGUACCAACAGAGAGAUGGAGGAACUCCUAAACUGCUCAUUUAUUAUACUAGCACUCGAGUAUCAGGGAUUUCAGACCGUUUUACAGGCAGUGGAUCAAACUCUGACUUCACUCUGACCAUCAGUGGAGUCCAGACUGAUGAUACAGCAGUUUACUACUGUCAGAGUUGGCAUUACCCCAACAGUCAGAAUGUGUUCACACAGUGAAAAAGCGUCGUACAAAAACCUCCCUCAGUCAGACUGAACAGGAACUGAGCUGACUGCUGCAGCUGGAAGCUACACUUCACUGAGGACACACACACACACACACACACACACACACACACACACACACACACACA